RNAcentral lists this ribosomal RNA (1425 nucleotides) under uncultured organism. RNAcentral's name for it is "16S ribosomal RNA". It matches the Rfam family "Bacterial small subunit ribosomal RNA". The record is from RNAcentral.
GCGGCGUGGAUAAGACAUGCAAGUCGAACGAGAGAAUUGCUAGCUUGCUAAUAAUUCUCUAGUGGCGCACGGGUGAGUAACACGUGAGUAACCUGCCCCCGAGAGCGGGAUAGCCCUGGGAAACUGGGAUUAAUACCGCAUAGUAUCGAAAGAUUAAAGCAGCAAUGCGCUUGGGGAUGGGCUCGCGGCCUAUUAGUUAGUUGGUGAGGUAACGGCUCACCAAGGCGAUGACGGGUAGCCGGUCUGAGAGGAUGUCCGGCCACACUGGAACUGAGACACGGUCCAGACACCUACGGGUGGCAGCAGUCGAGAAUCAUUCACAAUGGGGGAAACCCUGAUGGUGCGACGCCGCGUGGGGGAAUGAAGGUCUUCGGAUUGUAAACCCCUGUCAUGUGGGAGCAAAUUAAAAAGAUAGUACCACAAGAGGAAGAGACGGCUAACUCUGUGCCAGCAGCCGCGGUAAUACAGAGGUCUCAAGCGUUGUUCGGAAUCACUGGGCGUAAAGCGUGCGUAGGCUGUUUCGUAAGUCGUGUGUGAAAGGCGCGGGCUCAACCCGCGGACGGCACAUGAUACUGCGAGACUAGAGUAAUGGAGGGGGAACCGGAAUUCUCGGUGUAGCAGUGAAAUGCGUAGAUAUCGAGAGGAACACUCGUGGCGAAGGCGGGUUCCUGGACAUUAACUGACGCUGAGGCACGAAGGCCAGGGGAGCGAAAGGGAUUAGAUACCCCUGUAGUCCUGGCAGUAAACGGUGCACGCUUGGUGUGCGGGGAAUCGACCCCCUGCGUGCCGGAGCUAACGCGUUAAGCGUGCCGCCUGGGGAGUACGGUCGCAAGAUUAAAACUCAAAGAAAUUGACGGGGACCCGCACAAGCGGUGGAGUAUGUGGCUUAAUUCGAUGCAACGCGAAGAACCUUACCUGGGCUUGACAUGUAAUGAACAACAUGUGAAAGCAUGCGACUCUUCGGAGGCGUUACACAGGUGCUGCAUGGCCGUCGUCAGCUCGUGUCGUGAGAUGUUUGGUUAAGUCCAGCAACGAGCGCAACCCCUGUUGCCAGUUACCAGCACGUGAAGGUGGGGACUCUGGCGAGACUGCCCAGAUCAACUGGGAGGAAGGUGGGGACGACGUCAGGUCAGUAUGGCCCUUAUGCCCAGGGCUGCACACGUACUACAAUGCCCAGUACAGAGGGGGCCGAAGCCGCGAGGCGGAGGAAAUCCUGAAAACUGGGCCCAGUUCGGACUGUAGGCUGCAACCCGCCUACACGAAGCCGGAAUCGCUAGUAAUGGCGCAUCAGCUACGGCGCCGUGAAUACGUUCCCGGGUCUUGUACACACCGCCCGUCACAUCAUGGAAGCCGGUCGCACCCGAAGUAUCUGAAGCCAACCGCAAGGAGGCAGGGUCCUAAGGUGAGACUGGUAACUGGGAUGAA